RNAcentral lists this ribosomal RNA (253 nucleotides) under uncultured prokaryote. Its description in RNAcentral is "partial 16S ribosomal RNA". It matches the Rfam family "Bacterial small subunit ribosomal RNA", at positions 524 to 776 of the family's 1533-position model. The record is from RNAcentral.
UACAGAGGUCUCAAGCGUUGUUCGGAUUCACUGGGCGUAAAGGGUGCGUAGGCGGUCGGGUAAGUCUGAUGUGAAAUCUCACAGCUUAACUGUGAAACUGCAUUGGAUACUAUUCGGCUUGAGGUUUGGAGGGGGGACUGGAAUUCUCGGUGUAGCAGUGAAAUGCGUAGAUAUAGGAAGGAACACCAGUGGCGAAGGCGACCACCUGGACUGAUACUGACACUGAGGUGCGAAAGCGUGGGGAGCAAACAGG